AACGAACGCUGGCGGCAGGCUUAACACAUGCCAGUCGAGCGCCCCGCAAGGGGAGCGGCAGACGGGUGAGUAACGCGUGGGAACGUACCUUUUGGUUCGGAACAACUCCGGGAAACUGGAGCUAAUACCGGAUAAGCCCUAACGGGGAAAGAUUUAUCGCCGAAAGAUCGGCCCGCGUCUGAUUAGCUAGUUGGUGAGGUAACGGCUCACCAAGGCGACGAUCAGUAGCUGGUCUGAGAGGAUGAUCAGCCACACUGGGACUGAGACACGGCCCAGACUCCUAAGGGAGGCAGCAGUGGGGAAUAUUGGACAAUGGGCGCAAGCCUGAUCCAGCCAUGCCGCGUGAGUGAUGAAGGCCUUAGGGUUGUAAAGCUCUUUUGUCCGGGAAGAUAAUGACUGUACCGGAAGAAUAAGCCCCGGCUAACUUCGUG
RNAcentral lists this ribosomal RNA (431 nucleotides) under uncultured bacterium. RNAcentral's name for it is "partial 16S ribosomal RNA". It matches the Rfam family "Bacterial small subunit ribosomal RNA", at positions 29 to 507 of the family's 1533-position model. The record is from RNAcentral.